GAUGAACGCUGGCGGCGUGCCUAAUACAUGCAAGUCGAGCGAACAGACGAGGAGCUUGCCCCUCUAACGUAAGCGCGGACGGGGGGCGUACAACUUGGUUACCCUACCUAUAUGAUGGGGCUAACUUGGGGAAACCGUGUUUAAUCCCGGCUAAUUUAUUAACCCGAAUGGUUAAUUAGUAAAAGCGGUUUUGCCGUUCACUACAAGGGGGAUCCACUCCCCCUUGGCUCGUGGGUAAGGUAACGUCUAACAAAGCCAAGGCUACGUAGCCGACCUGACAGGGUGAUCGGCCACACUGGAACUGAGACACGGUCCAGACUCCUACGGGAGGCAGCAGUAGGGACUCCUCCGCAAUGGGCGAAAGCCUGACGGAGCAACGCCGCGUGAGUGAUGAUGGUCUUCGGAUCGUAACACUCUGUUAUCAGGGAAGAACAAUUGUGUAAGUAACGAUGCACGUCUUGACGGCACCUACCCAGAAAGCCACGGCUAACUACGUG
Molecule: ribosomal RNA, 497 nt
Filed under: uncultured bacterium
Lineage: Bacteria
Description: partial 16S ribosomal RNA
Rfam family: Bacterial small subunit ribosomal RNA
Source: RNAcentral